This 82-nucleotide transfer RNA is filed under the name Leucobacter massiliensis. It matches the Rfam family "tRNA". Rfam says of the family: Transfer RNA (tRNA) molecules are approximately 80 nucleotides in length. Their secondary structure includes four short double-helical elements and three loops (D, anti-codon, and T loops). Further hydrogen bonds mediate the characteristic L-shaped molecular structure. tRNAs have two regions of fundamental functional importance: the anti-codon, which is responsible for specific mRNA codon recognition, and the 3' end, to which the tRNAs corresponding amino acid is attached (by aminoacyl-tRNA synthetases). tRNAs cope with the degeneracy of the genetic code in two manners: having more than one tRNA (with a specific anti-codon) for a particular amino acid; and 'wobble' base-pairing, i.e. permitting non-standard base-pairing at the 3rd anti-codon position. The record is from Rfam by way of RNAcentral. Lineage: Bacteria; Bacillati; Actinomycetota; Actinomycetes; Micrococcales; Microbacteriaceae.
GCGCGAGUGGCGGAAUUGGCAGACGCGCUGGAUUUAGGUUCCAGUGACUCCGGUCGUGGGGGUUCAAGUCCCCCCUCGCGCA